ACCUUCGGUGCCCGAGUUGUAAUUUGAAGAAUACAAUCUUGGAAUUGGUCCUUGUCUAUGUUCCUUGGAACAGGACGUCACAGAGGGUGAGAAUCCCGUGCGAUGAGGAUACCUUUUCUUUAUAAGAUGUGUUCGACGAGUCGAGUUGUUUGGGAAUGCAGCUCUAAGUGGGUGGUAAAUUCCAUCUAAAGCUAAAUAUUGGCGAGAGACCGAUAGCGAACAAGUACAGUGAUGGAAAGAUGAAAAGAACUUUGAAAAGAGAGUGAAAAAGUACGUGAAAUUGUUGAAAGGGAAGGGUAUUUGAUCAGACUUGGUAUUUGGGUAUCUCUUCUCCUUGUGGGAGGGGCUCUAGCCUUUUACUGGGCCAGCAUCAGUUCUUGUGGCAAGAUAAUCGCAGUUGAAUGUGGCUCUUCGGAGUGUUAUAGCUUCUGUUGAUGUUGCCUACGGGGACUGAGGUCUGCGGGUUUUCCCUAGGAUGCUGGCGUAAUGAUCAAACACCGCCCGUCUUGAAACAUGGACCAAGGAGUCUAACGUCUAUGCGAGUGUUUGGGUGUAAAACCCGUACGCGUAAUGAAAGUGAACGUAGAUCAGGGCCCUCUUAUGGGUGCAUGAUCGACCGAUCCUGACGUUUUCAGAAGGAUUUGAGUAAGAGCAUAGCUGUUGGGACCCGAAAGAUGGUGAACUAUGCCUGAAUAGGGUGAAGCCAGAGGAAACUCUGGUGGAGGCUCGUAGCGGUUCUGACGUGCAAAUCGAUCGUCAAAUUUGGGUAUAGGGGCGAAAGACUAAUCGAACCAUCUAGUAGCUGGUUCCUGCC
This 814-nucleotide ribosomal RNA is filed under the name Ambrosiozyma sp. RNAcentral describes it as "partial large subunit ribosomal RNA". It matches the Rfam family "Eukaryotic large subunit ribosomal RNA", at positions 127 to 962 of the family's 3401-position model. The record is from RNAcentral. Lineage: Eukaryota; Fungi; Ascomycota; Pichiomycetes; Pichiales; Pichiaceae.